This 250-nucleotide ribosomal RNA is filed under the name uncultured bacterium. RNAcentral describes it as "partial 16S ribosomal RNA". It matches the Rfam family "Bacterial small subunit ribosomal RNA", at positions 524 to 773 of the family's 1533-position model. The record is from RNAcentral.
UACGAAGGGGGCUAGCGUUGUUCGGAAUUACUGGGCGUAAAGCGCACGUAGGCGGAUAUUUAAGUCAGGGGUGAAAUCCCAGAGCUUAACUCUGGAACUGCCUUUGAUACUGGGUAUCUUGAGUAUGGAAGAGGUAAGUGGAAUUGCGAGUGUAGGGGUGAAAUUCGUAGAUAUUCGCAGGAACACCAGUGGCGAAGGCGGCUUACUGGUCCAUUACUGACGCUGAGGUGCGAAAGCGUGGGGAGCAAAC